GCCGUGGUCGUCUAAUGGUAAGACGCUCUUAGUCCAAGAGAAAUGGAGGUUCAACUCCUUCCCUAGGCU
Molecule: transfer RNA, 69 nt
Filed under: Candidatus Scalindua sp.
Lineage: Bacteria; Pseudomonadati; Planctomycetota; Candidatus Brocadiia; Candidatus Brocadiales; Candidatus Scalinduaceae
Description: tRNA-Asp
Rfam family: tRNA
About the family: Transfer RNA (tRNA) molecules are approximately 80 nucleotides in length.
Source: RNAcentral